This 312-nucleotide ribosomal RNA is filed under the name Triticum aestivum (bread wheat). RNAcentral describes it as "partial small subunit ribosomal RNA". The record is from RNAcentral. Lineage: Eukaryota; Viridiplantae; Streptophyta; Magnoliopsida; Poales; Poaceae.
AUGCUCCUGCUUCUGCUGCUGGAUCGAGGGUUGAGUUUUCUUGUGUGCUUUGCUUGGACUGAUGAUAUUGUGUGGCGUUGUUGCCAAUGCCUGAUGUGGGAGCUUAUGGUGGCUCUCACCUUGUGUUAUAUAUAUUGUGGCUUUCAAAUAAGAGACGGACAGGUCGGUGCCUGCAUACACAGACCUGGCCGACGCGCGCCCGUGUGUGGUUUGCGACUGCAGUGGCUAUGUGUGUGCAUCCACCAGGCUGCAUUUGCGCAGGCGUGUGUGUGGUUUAAUGAGUGCCUGCUUGCUAUGCAUGUGGAGUUGUAA